Molecule: ribosomal RNA, 253 nt
Filed under: uncultured bacterium
Lineage: Bacteria
Description: partial 16S ribosomal RNA
Rfam family: Bacterial small subunit ribosomal RNA
Source: RNAcentral
UACGUAGGGUGCAAGCGUUGUCCGGAAUUAUUGGGCGUAAAGGGCUCGUAGGCGGUCCAUCGCGUCGGGAGUGAAAAGCUGGGGCUCAACCCCAGUCCUGCUUUCGAUACGGGUGGACUAGAGGUAUGCAGGGGAGAACGGAAUUCCUGGUGUAGCGGUGAAAUGCGCAGAUAUCAGGAGGAACACCGGUGGCGAAGGCAGGUCUCUGGGCCGAUACUGACGCUGAGGAGCGAAAGCGUGGGGAGCGAACAGG